Molecule: ribosomal RNA, 253 nt
Filed under: uncultured bacterium
Lineage: Bacteria
Description: partial 16S ribosomal RNA
Rfam family: Bacterial small subunit ribosomal RNA
Source: RNAcentral
UACGGAGGGCGCGAGCGUUGUUCGGAAUCAUUGGGCGUAAAGCGCGUGUAGGCGGCUUGGCAAGUCGGGUGUGAAAUCCCGGGGCUCAACUCCGGAACUGCAUUCGAUACUGCCUCGCUAGAGUCCCGGAGAGGAAGGCGGAAUUCCCGGUGUAGAGGUGAAAUUCGUAGAUAUCGGGAGGAACACCAGUGGCGAAGGCGGCCUUCUGGACGGUGACUGACGCUGAGAUGCGAAAGCGUGGGGAGCAAACAGG